UACGGAAGGUCCGGGCGUUAUCCGGAUUUAUUGGGUUUAAAGGGAGCGUAGGCCGGAGAUUAAGCGUGUUGUGAAAUGUAGACGCUCAACGUCUGCACUGCAGCGCGAACUGGUUUUCUUGAGUACGCACAAAGUGGGCGGAAUUCGUGGUGUAGCGGUGAAAUGCUUAGAUAUCACGAAGAACUCCGAUUGCGAAGGCAGCUCACUGGAGCGCAACUGACGCUGAAGCUCGAAAGUGCGGGUAUCGAACAGG
Molecule: ribosomal RNA, 253 nt
Filed under: Segatella copri DSM 18205
Lineage: Bacteria; Pseudomonadati; Bacteroidota; Bacteroidia; Bacteroidales; Prevotellaceae
Description: Prevotella copri DSM 18205 partial 16S ribosomal RNA
Rfam family: Bacterial small subunit ribosomal RNA
Source: RNAcentral